UCUGAAAACGAAAUUGCUUUCUUUUGGUUUAUGGCGAGUGACAUUUAUAAGGUUAAGGCAAAGUAUAAGCAAAUGUAAUGAUUAUUCUAAGUUAUAAAUAGAUCUCAGGAAAUCACAGGAGUAAUUCUUUAGUUUUCAUGUAUUAUCUACUGUUUUAAAUUAACAAUAUUGAACUAUUUAAAGCUCCGACUACACAACAAAAAUGUGACAUCCACAACCUCCACGGGGAAGUUCUCUUUAAACAAGAAGAAGGUGCCAGCAAUCAUUAAAGAUCUACACAUUGCUAUACAAUGGGUUGUCAAGAAUGAGGCACUGUUCUGUGGGCGCAUAACCAUGCCAAGUUAUGUGUCAAUGAAUGAAGAUGACCGCCAGAAGGCCAUAGAUAACGUGAUGCAAAGAGAAGAACCAGAAGCAAGGGAGCCAUUCCUCUUUGUAUUUCAGCACAGAGAAGAUAUGGAGUUGUUUUUGCAGGCAUGUCUUGACCAACAGGGCCUCCAAGUUAAUGCCAUGUUCAACAAAUGACUGAUGGACAAGGGGUGGUGGUGUGUUUCUGUUUAAAUUAUUGAUAAUAAUAAAAAAAAUAAGAUAAUUAACACCA
Molecule: long non-coding RNA, 598 nt
Organism: Bombina bombina (fire-bellied toad)
Lineage: Eukaryota; Metazoa; Chordata; Amphibia; Anura; Bombinatoridae
Exons: 2
Source: RefSeq, a predicted model, not a curated record